AACAUAAGAGUUUGAUCCUGGCUCAGGAUGAACGCUGGCGGCGUGCUUAACACAUGCAAGUCGAACGAAGAUACUUAAAAUGAGAGCUUCGGCAGGAUUUUUAUUUAUCUUAGUGGCGGACGGGUGAGUAACGUGUGGGCAACCUGCCCUAUACUGGGGAAUAAUCACUGGAAACGGUGACUAAUACCGCAUGUCAUUACGGAAGGGCAUCCUUCUGUAAGAAAAGGAGUAAUUCGGUAUAGGAUGGGCCCGCAUCUGAUUAGCUAGUUGGUGAGAUAACAGCCCACCAAGGCGACGAUCAGUAGCCGACCUGAGAGGGUGAUCGGCCACAUUGGGACUGAGACACGGCCCAAACUCCUACGGGAGGCAGCAGUGGGGAAUAUUGCACAAUGGGGGAAACCCUGAUGCAGCAACGCCGCGUGAAGGAUGAAGGUUUUCGGAUCGUAAACUUCUAUCAAUAGGGACGAAGAAAGUGACGGUACCUAAAUAAGAAGCCCCGGCUAACUACGUGCCAGCAGCCGCGGUAAUACGUAGGGGGCAAGCG
RNAcentral lists this ribosomal RNA (544 nucleotides) under Firmicutes bacterium AF19-2LB. Its description in RNAcentral is "bacterial SSU rRNA". It matches the Rfam family "Bacterial small subunit ribosomal RNA", at positions 1 to 540 of the family's 1533-position model. Lineage: Bacteria; Bacillati; Bacillota. The record is from RNAcentral.